GUCCCAGCUUAAAAAUAAGCUUGGAUCUACAUGCCCUUUCACCAAGGUAGCUAAGCUAUCAUAAAAUACAGCUCCAACAGCAAUGAAGGUGCAGUGAAUUUAAUAAAAGUGAAAGAGCUACUGGUU
This 126-nucleotide non-coding RNA is filed under the name unclassified sequences. RNAcentral's name for it is "RT-16 RNA". It matches the Rfam family "RT-16 RNA". Rfam says of the family: candidate division DUSEL4 (Archaea). Nearby to self-splicing intron genes The record is from Rfam by way of RNAcentral.